GUCGAGCGGACAGAAGGGAGCUUGCUCCCGGAUGUUAGCGGCGGACGGGUGAGUAACACGUGGGUAACCUGCCUGUAAGACUGGGAUAACUCCGGGAAACCGGAGCUAAUACCGGAUAUUCCUUGAACCGCAUGGUUCAAGGAUGAAAGACGGUUUCGGCUGUCACUUACAGAUGGACCCGCGGCGCAUUAGCUAGUUGGUGGGGUAAUGGCUCACCAAGGCGACGAUGCGUAGCCGACCUGAGAGGGUGAUCGGCCACACUGGGACUGAGACACGGCCCAGACUCCUACGGGAGGCAGCAGUAGGGAAUCUUCCGCAAUGGACGAAAGUCUGACGGAGCAACGCCGCGUGAGUGAUGAAGGUUUUCGGAUCGUAAAGCUCUGUUGUUAGGGAAGAACAAGUGCGAGAGUAACUGCUCGCACCUUGACGGUACCUAACCAGAAAGCCACGGCUAACUACGUGCCAGCAGCCGCGGUAAUACGUAGGUGGCAAGCGUUGUCCGGAAUUAUUGGGCGUAAAGGGCUCGCAGGCGGUUUCUUAAGUCUGAUGUGAAAGCCCCCGGCUCAACCGGGGAGGGUCAUUGGAAACUGGGAAACUUGAGUGCAGAAGAGGAGAGUGGAAUUCCACGUGUAGCGGUGAAAUGCGUAGAGAUGUGGAGGAACACCAGUGGCGAAGGCGACUCUCUGGUCUGUAACUGACGCUGAGGAGCGAAAGCGUGGGGAGCGAACAGGAUUAGAUACCCUGGUAGUCCACGCCGUAAACGAUGAGUGCUAAGUGUUAGGGGGUUUCCGCCCCUUAGUGCUGCAGCUAACGCAUUAAGCACUCCGCC
This 829-nucleotide ribosomal RNA is filed under the name Bacillus sp. LMR318. Its description in RNAcentral is "bacterial SSU rRNA". It matches the Rfam family "Bacterial small subunit ribosomal RNA", at positions 61 to 873 of the family's 1533-position model. Lineage: Bacteria; Bacillati; Bacillota; Bacilli; Caryophanales; Bacillaceae. The record is from RNAcentral.